RNAcentral lists this ribosomal RNA (252 nucleotides) under uncultured bacterium. RNAcentral's name for it is "partial 16S ribosomal RNA". It matches the Rfam family "Bacterial small subunit ribosomal RNA", at positions 524 to 776 of the family's 1533-position model. The record is from RNAcentral.
UACGUAGGGUCCGAGCGUUGUCCGGAAUCAUUGGGCGUAAAGGGUACGUAGGCGGUUAAGUAAGUCAGAAGUGAAAGCCCAUAGCUCAACCAUAGUACGCUGUUGAAACUGCUAAACUUGAGGUAUAGAAGGGUAAGUGGAAUUCCUAGUGUAGCGGUGAAAUGCUUAGAUAUUAGGUGGAAUACCAGUGGCGAAGGCGGCUUUCUGGCUAUGAACUGACGCUGAGGUACGAAAGCGUGGGUAGCAAACAGG